RNAcentral lists this ribosomal RNA (1372 nucleotides) under uncultured bacterium. RNAcentral's name for it is "bacterial SSU rRNA". It matches the Rfam family "Bacterial small subunit ribosomal RNA", at positions 28 to 1381 of the family's 1533-position model. The record is from RNAcentral.
GAUGAACGCUGGCGGCGUGCCUAAUACAUGCAAGUCGAGCGAACGGACGAGAAGCUUGCUUCUCUGAUGUUAGCGGCGGACGGGUGAGUAACACGUGGAUAACCUACCUAUAAGACUGGGAUAACUUCGGGAAACCGUAGCUAAUACCGGAUAAUAUUUUGAACCGCAUGGUUCAAAAGUGAAAGACGGUCUUGCUGUCACUUAUAGAUGGAUCCGCGCUGCAUUAGCUAGUUGGUAAGGUAACGGCUUACCAAGGCAACGAUGCAUAGCCGACCUGAGAGGGUGAUCGGCCACACUGGAACUGAGACACGGUCCAGACUCCUACGGGAGGCAGCAGUAGGGAAUCUUCCGCAAUGGGCGAAAGCCUGACGGAGCAACGCCGCGUGAGUGAUGAAGGUCUUCGGAUCGUAAAACUCUGUUAUUAGGGAAGAACAUAUGUGUAAGUAACUGUGCACAUCUUGACGGUACCUAAUCAGAAAGCCACGGCUAACUACGUGCCAGCAGCCGCGGUAAUACGUAGGUGGCAAGCGUUAUCCGGAAUUAUUAGGCGUAAAGCGCGCGUAGGCGGUUUUUUAAGUCUGAUGUGAAAGCCCACGGCUCAACCGUGGAGGGUCAUUGGAAACUGGAAAACUUGAGUGCAGAAGAGGAAAGUGGAAUUCCAUGUGUAGCGGUGAAAUGCGCAGAGAUAUGGAGGAACACCAGUGGCGAAGGCGACUUUCUGGUCUGUAACUGACGCUGAUGUGCGAAAGCGUGGGGAUCAGACAGGAUUAGAUACCCUGGUAGUCCACGCCGUAAACGAUGAGUGCUAAGUGUUAGGGGGUUUCCGCCCCUUAGUGCUGCAGCUAACGCAUUAAGCACUCCGCCUGGGGAGUACGACCGCAAGGUUGAAACUCAAAGGAAUUGACGGGGCCCCGCACAAGCGGUGGAGCAUGUGGUUUAAUUCGAAGCAACGCGAAGAACCUUACCAAAUCUUGACAUCCUUUGACAACUCUAGAGAUAGAGCCUUCCCCUUCGGGGGGCAAAGUGACAGGUGGUGCAUGGUUGUCGUCAGCUCGUGUCGUGAGAUGUUGGGUUAAGUCCCGCAACGAGCGCAACCCUUAAGCUUAGUUGCCAUCAUUAAGUUGGGCACUCUAAGUUGACUGCCGGUGACAAACCGGAGGAAGGUGGGGAUGACGUCAAAUCAUCAUGCCCCUUAUGAUUUGGGCUACACACGUGCUACAAUGGACAAUACAAAGGGCAGCGAAACCGCGAGGUCAAGCAAAUCCCAUAAAGUUGUUCUCAGUUCGGAUUGUAGUCUGCAACUCGACUACAUGAAGCUGGAAUCGCUAGUAAUCGUAGAUCAGCAUGCUACGGUGAAUACGUUCCCGGGUCU